GUAUCCAGGUCUGCAUUUAGGGAUGUUGUCCCAGUCAGCGGUAACAGGGUGUAGCCUUGCUACCCGCUGACAAGCGGCGGAGGGGGGAGUAAUGCUUAGGAAUCUGCCCAGGGGUGGGGGAUACCCCGGGGAAACCCGGAUUAUUACCGCACACGUCCUACUGGAGAAAGCAGGGGAUCUUCUGACCUUGCGCUAUUGGAUGAGCCUAAGUCGGAUUAUCUCGUGGGGGGGGUAAAGGCCUACCAAGGCGACAAUCCGUAUCUGGUCUGAGAGGAUGAUCACCCACAUCGGGACUGAGACACGGCCCGAACUCCUACGGGAGGCAGCAGUGGGGAAUAUUGGACAAUGGGGGCAACCCUGAUCCCCCCCUGCCGCGUGUGUGAAAAAAGCUUUCGGGUUGUAAAGCACUUUCUCUAGGGAGGAAAACCUUAUGGGUAAUACCCAUGAGGCUUGACGUUACCUACAGAAAAAACACCGGCUAACUCCGUGCCACCACCCGCGGUAAUACGGAGGGUGCAAGCGUUAAUCGGAAUUACUGGGCGUAAAGCGCGCGUAUGUGGUUUGGUAACCGAGAUGUGAAAGCCCCGGGCUUAACCUGGGAACGGCAUUUCGAACUGUCAUACUAUAGUGUGGUAGAGGGUAGUGGAAUUUCCUGUGUAUCGGUGAAAUGCGUAUAUAUAUGAAAGAACACCAGUGUGCGAAAGCGGCUACCUGUGACCAACACUGACACUGAGGUGCGAAAGCGUGUGGGAGCAAACAGGAUUAUAUACCCUGUGUAGUCCACGCCGUAUACGAUGUCAACUAUACCGUUGGGAGUCUUGAAAUCUUAGUGUCGCAACUAACGCACUAAGUUGACCGCCUGGGGAGUACAGCCGCAAGUUAAAACUCACAUGAAUUGACAGGGGCCCGCACAAGCGGUGGAACAUGUGUGUUUAAUUCUACGCAACGCGAAAAAACUUACCUGGUCCUUGACAUCUCGAGAACUUUCCAGAGAUGGAUUGGUGCCUCUGGGAACAUCUGAGACACGUGCUGCCAUGGGCGUCGUCACCUCUGUCGUGAAAAUGUUGGGUUAAAUCCGUAACGAGACGCAACCCCUAUUCCUUGAUUGGCUACGCAGGUAAUUGUCUGAGAACUCUCAAGAGACCUGCCCGGUGUACAAACCGAAGAAAAGGGUGGGGAAUGAAGCUCAGUCUAUCAUAUGGCUACAGCAUGGCCUCACACAAUGUGUGCACAAUUGCCGUACAACGGCUGCCGAAUCCAGGGAAGUUCAACAUCCUAUUAACCGCGCUUCUUGAAUAUCUCCGCA
RNAcentral lists this ribosomal RNA (1306 nucleotides) under Marinobacter nauticus. RNAcentral's name for it is "bacterial SSU rRNA". It matches the Rfam family "Bacterial small subunit ribosomal RNA", at positions 69 to 1309 of the family's 1533-position model. Lineage: Bacteria; Pseudomonadati; Pseudomonadota; Gammaproteobacteria; Pseudomonadales; Marinobacteraceae. The record is from RNAcentral.